GACGAACGCUGGCGGCGUGCUUAACACAUGCAAGUCGAACGGAAAGGCCCUGCUUUUGUGGGGUGCUCGAUUGGCGAACGGGUGAGUAACACGUGAGUAACCUGCCCUUGACUUUGGGAUAACUUCAGGAAACUGGGGCUAAUACCGGAUAGGAGCUCCUGCUGCAUGGUGGGGGUUGGAAAGUUUCGGCGGUUGGGGAUGGACUCGCGGCUUAUCAGCUUGUUGGUGGGGUAGUGGCUUACCAAGGCUUUGACGGGUAGCCGGCCUGAGAGGGUGAACGGCCACAUUGGGACUGAGAUACGGACCAGAAUCCUACGGGAGGCAGCAGUGGGGAAUAUUGCACAACGGGCGGAAGCCUGAUGCAGAAACGCCGCGUGCGGGAUGCUGGGCUUCGGGUUGUAAACCGAUUUCGACUGUGACGAAGCGUGCGUGACGGUAAUGGGUAAAGAAGCAACGGCUAACUACGUG
This 468-nucleotide ribosomal RNA is filed under the name uncultured bacterium. RNAcentral describes it as "partial 16S ribosomal RNA". It matches the Rfam family "Bacterial small subunit ribosomal RNA", at positions 28 to 507 of the family's 1533-position model. The record is from RNAcentral.